GCAUAUCAUCACAACAAAUUCACUUUUAGUCAUCCUGAACACUCACUUAUGCCAUUUAAACUACCCUGAUAUGACUACUGUGUGAACAGAUUACCGUUGAUGUAUGUAGAGAUAUUUUAAAUCUGACAUAUGUAAACAUGAUGCUAUUUCUAUAUAUAAAAUGGUCAAAUUUGCUUUCAUUUCAUUGAAAGCAUAUAUGGACAGUGUAUCGUCUUCUCUAAAGUAAAUCUAUUCUUUCCUAUUUUUACUUAGGCUUCUACAUACCUUUGGGAAUGACUGCUAUGAAGGAAAAUAAUUAUAGUAAGUACAUUAAAAUAUGAACUUGCUUUCCUUAUUAAAUUGAUUUGCAGAUAAUUUCUAAAUUGGUACUAACUUGUAAAACCUGAAUAAAGCAUUAUGGAC
RNAcentral lists this long non-coding RNA (402 nucleotides) under Bos taurus (domestic cattle). RNAcentral describes it as "long non-coding RNA NONBTAT025301". Lineage: Eukaryota; Metazoa; Chordata; Mammalia; Artiodactyla; Bovidae. The record is from RNAcentral.